UUGGACAAUGGGCGCAAGCCUGAUCCAGCCAUGCCGCGUGCAGGAUGAAGGCCUUCUGGUUGUAAACUGCUUUUGUACGGAACGAAAAGGUGCCUUCUAAUAAAGGGCGCUCAUGACGGUACCGUAAGAAUAAGCACCGGCUAACUACGUGCCAGCUGCCGCGGUAAUACGUAGGGUGCGAGCGUUAAUCGGAAUUACUGGGCGUAAAGCGUGCGCAGGCGGUUUUGUAAGACAGAGGUGAAAUCCCCGGGCUCAACCUGGGAACUGCCUUUGUGACUGCGAGGAUGGAGUGCAGCGGAGGGGGAUGGAAUUCCGCGUGUAGCAGUGAAAUGCGUAGAUAUGCGGAGGAACACCGGUGGCGAAGGCAAUCCCCUGGGCCUGCACUGACGCUCAUGC
RNAcentral lists this ribosomal RNA (396 nucleotides) under uncultured bacterium. RNAcentral's name for it is "bacterial SSU rRNA". It matches the Rfam family "Bacterial small subunit ribosomal RNA", at positions 364 to 752 of the family's 1533-position model. The record is from RNAcentral.